This 1448-nucleotide ribosomal RNA is filed under the name uncultured organism. RNAcentral's name for it is "16S ribosomal RNA". It matches the Rfam family "Bacterial small subunit ribosomal RNA". The record is from RNAcentral.
CAGGCUUAACACAUGCAAGUCGAGGGGCAGCAUUUCAGUUUGCUUGCAAACUGGAGAUGGCGACCGGCGCACGGGUGAGUAACACGUAUCCAACCUGCCGAUAACUCGGGGAUAGCCUUUCGAAAGAAAGAUUAAUACCCGAUGGUAUAAUCAGACCGCAUGGUCUUGUUAUUAAAGAAUUUCGGUUAUCGAUGGGGAUGCGUUCCAUUAGGCAGUUGGUGAGGUAACGGCUCACCAAACCUUCGAUGGAUAGGGGUUCUGAGAGGAAGGUCCCCCACAUUGGAACUGAGACACGGUCCAAACUCCUACGGGAGGCAGCAGUGAGGAAUAUUGGUCAAUGGGCGCAGGCCUGAACCAGCCAAGUAGCGUGAAGGAUGACUGCCCUAUGGGUUGUAAACUUCUUUUAUAUGGGAAUAAAGUUUUCCACGUGUGGAAUUUUGUAUGUACCAUAUGAAUAAGGAUCGGCUAACUCCGUGCCAGCAGCCGCGGUAAUACGGAGGAUCCGAGCGUUAUCCGGAUUUAUUGGGUUUAAAGGGAGCGUAGGUGGACAGUUAAGUCAGUUGUGAAAGUUUGCGGCUCAACCGUAAAAUUGCAGUUGAUACUGGCUGUCUUGAGUACAGUAGAGGUGGGCGGAAUUCGUGGUGUAGCGGUGAAAUGCUUAGAUAUCACGAAGAACUCCGAUUGCGAAGGCAGCUCACUGGACUGCAACUGACACUGAUGCUCGAAAGUGUGGGUAUCAAACAGGAUUAGAUACCCUGGUAGUCCACACAGUAAACGAUGAAUACUCGCUGUUUGCGAUAUACAGUAAGCGGCCAAGCGAAAGCAUUAAGUAUUCCACCUGGGGAGUACGCCGGCAACGGUGAAACUCAAAGGAAUUGACGGGGGCCCGCACAAGCGGAGGAACAUGUGGUUUAAUUCGAUGAUACGCGAGGAACCUUACCCGGGCUUAAAUUGCAUUUGAAUAUAUUGGAAACAGUAUAGCCGUAAGGCAAAUGUGAAGGUGCUGCAUGGUUGUCGUCAGCUCGUGCCGUGAGGUGUCGGCUUAAGUGCCAUAACGAGCGCAACCCUUAUCUUUAGUUACUAACAGGUCAUGCUGAGGACUCUAGAGAGACUGCCGUCGUAAGAUGUGAGGAAGGUGGGGAUGACGUCAAAUCAGCACGGCCCUUACGUCCGGGGCUACACACGUGUUACAAUGGGGGGUACAGAAGGCAGCUACCUGGUGACAGGAUGCUAAUCCCAAAAGCCUCUCUCAGUUCGGAUCGAAGUCUGCAACCCGACUUCGUGAAGCUGGAUUCGCUAGUAAUCGCGCAUCAGCCAUGGCGCGGUGAAUACGUUCCCGGGCCUUGUACACACCGCCCGUCAAGCCAUGAAAGCCGGGGGUACCUGAAGUACGUAACCGCAAGGAGCGUCCUAGGGUAAAACUGGUAAUUGGGGCUAAGUCAUAACAA